Molecule: ribosomal RNA, 445 nt
Filed under: uncultured bacterium
Lineage: Bacteria
Description: bacterial SSU rRNA
Rfam family: Bacterial small subunit ribosomal RNA
Source: RNAcentral
CCAGACUCCUACGGGAGGCAGCAGUGGGGGAUAUUGCACAAUGGGGGGAACCCUGAUGCAGCGACGCCGCGUGGGUGAAGAAGCGCCUCGGCGCGUAAAGCCCUGUCAGCAGGGAAGAAAAUGACGGUACCUGACUAAGAAGCCCCGGCUGACUACGUGCCAGCAGCCGCGGUAAUACGUAGGGGGCAAGCGUUAUCCGGAUUUACUGGGUGUAAAGGGAGCGUAGACGGCAUGGCAAGUCUGAUGUGAAAACCCGGGGCUCAACCCCGGGACUGCAUUGGAAACUGUCAGGCUAGAGUGUCGGAGAGGCAAGUGGAAUUCCUAGUGUAGCGGUGAAAUGCGUAGAUAUUAGGAGGAACACCAGUGGCGAAGGCGACUUUCUGGACUGUACCUGACGCUGAGGCGCGAAAGCGUGGGUAGCGAACGGGAUUAGAUACCCUUGUAC